CUACAAUGAAUUGACGGGGGCCCGACACAAGCGGAGGAACAUUGUGGUUUAAUUCGAUGAUACGCGAGGAACCUUACCUGGGCUUAAAUGUAGAGUGCAUUUUCUAGAGAUAGGAAUUCCCUUCGGGGCUUUCUACAAGGUGCUGCAUGGUUGUCGUCAGCUCGUGCCGUGAGGUGUCGGGUUAAGUCCCAUAACGAGCGCAACCCUUAUCGUUAGUUGCCAUCUGGUAAAGCAGGGGACUCUAGCGAAACUGCCACCGUAAGGUGAGAGGAAGUGGGAUGACGUCAAAUCAGCACGGCCCUUAUGUCCAGGGCUACACACGUGUUACAAUGGUCGGUACAGAGGGCAGCUACCUGGUGACAGGAUGCUAAUCUCGAAAACCGGCCUCAGUUCGGAUCGAAGUCUGCAACUCGACUUCGUGAAGCUGGAUUCGCUAGUAAUCGCGCAUCAGCCAUGGCGCGGUCGAAUACGUUCCCGGGCCUU
Molecule: ribosomal RNA, 483 nt
Filed under: uncultured Sphingobacteriales bacterium
Lineage: Bacteria; Pseudomonadati; Bacteroidota; Sphingobacteriia; Sphingobacteriales
Description: bacterial SSU rRNA
Rfam family: Bacterial small subunit ribosomal RNA
Source: RNAcentral